This 1282-nucleotide long non-coding RNA is filed under the name Olea europaea subsp. europaea. Lineage: Eukaryota; Viridiplantae; Streptophyta; Magnoliopsida; Lamiales; Oleaceae. The record is from RNAcentral.
AUCCACAUUGAAACCCUCCUUAGCCCAGAAUUCAAAAGGUUUUUUUUUUUUUACUGUAAACCUCCCACCUCCCUUCCCAAUUUGUCGAAUACUAAGCUCCCAUCAGCAGGGAUUCUGCAAUUAAUAUUUUAUAAUUAGGAAUAAAGAGGUUGUUAUUGCUCAAUUUCACCUUUAACCACUAAAGAAUAUGCAAUUUUACAUACAUUCUGAUCUCACCCAAAAAAGGCUAAAAUGAGAUUAUAGUGGGAAGUUCUUUUGUGAGAUAUGCAUCCUUAAAAUAGCCAGCAUUAACUUCAAGAAAAGACAUUCACCUUCAGGAGACUGCUGACUUAAACCAGAAGAAGAGAGCUUCAUUCCUGCAGGUUCAACAGUAAAAAGAUGCAACCAGAAAGAAAAUUGCCCUUUUCAACCCAAAUUUGGCACUACUUCAAUGCAUGCAGUCAUAGCAAUAGAUACCUACUCCACUCCACCCCACCCCCCCCCACCCCCUCACUGCCAACCCCCAAAUAUAGUGCAAGAGAAUUGAGGAAAUUAUAGUUCUUCACGUAAAUAUUUUGAAGUAAAUGUUAACUUUAACUCCCCUGCAAAUAUGUUCAACCAAAACCUGUUCUACUACAGAACACGAAAAAGUUCUGCUUCAUCAGCUCUUUAUAUUCUUCACCAAACACCCCCAGACACAGAAUUUCAUUUCCAAGAAAUUCAUAUGCCAAAUCUUGAACUGAUCAACAAUCAUAUUUCAGCUCAAACUCCACCAUGAAAGUGAAACCAAAUCUUUUAGCUUUAACUGAAAAUUUUACAGUUGAUGAGUCCCAAAUUCCUCAAAGAACAAGAAUCUUUUAAACCCAGAAACAAAAUCACAAAAAAAUAAAAAUAAUAAUAAAUAUUUAAAACCCUGUUCAGAUCUCGGUUGCACUCAAUCAAUGACCUCGAACAAACGAUCACAAGAAAGCUACGAUCUUUUCUUCACACAGCUCAACAGCUUCGAUCCACAAAUCAAGCAUAUUUCACCUCAUUGAAGCUCGAAUAUACAGAUGGCCUUCGAUUCCAGGCACAGACCUUCAAACUGAAAGCACAGGUGCAUGCCCGUGCAUAUCAAGCGGAGAUGAUAAGGGCCACUCUACUCGUCUGCUUGUGCCUAACGUUUUCACUACUCUCUGUACCUUGUAGAACACAAACGGAGUAUAAUUUUCUCUUUCCUCCGAGCAAAUCAAUCAAUUCAACCUUUAUUUGAUUUUAUUUAUUUUUACAGUAAAAACUUGUAACGACACUGAUUAGAUUGUUU